RNAcentral lists this ribosomal RNA (440 nucleotides) under uncultured bacterium. RNAcentral's name for it is "bacterial SSU rRNA". It matches the Rfam family "Bacterial small subunit ribosomal RNA", at positions 338 to 769 of the family's 1533-position model. The record is from RNAcentral.
CCUACGGGAGGCUGCAGUGGGGAAUUGUUCGCAAUGGGCGCAAGCCUGACGACGCAACGCCGCGUGGAGGAUGAAGACCUUCGGGUCGUAAACUCCUUUCGACCGAGAUGAAUUCCCGCCGACCUAACACGUCGGCGGGGUGACAGUAUCGGGAGAAGCAGCCCCGGCUAACUCCGUGCCAGCAGCCGCGGUAAUACGGGGGGGGCAAGCGUUGUUCGGAAUUACUGGGCGUAAAGGGUUCGUAGGUGGCCAACUAAGUCAGACGUGAAAUCCCUCAGCUUAACUGGGGAACUGCGUCUGAGACUGGAUGGCUCGAGUGCAGGAGAGGAACGCGGAAUUCCAGGUGUAGCGGUGAAAUGCGUAGAUAUCUGGAGGAACACCGGUGGCGAAGGCGGCGUUCUGGACUGCUACUGACACUGAGGAACGAAAGCCAGGGGAGC